RNAcentral lists this unclassified non-coding RNA (288 nucleotides) under Hevea brasiliensis (rubber tree). The record is from RNAcentral. Lineage: Eukaryota; Viridiplantae; Streptophyta; Magnoliopsida; Malpighiales; Euphorbiaceae.
GACCUUGCACAGUCAAUAGCAGGGAAUAGAUGCAUUGUAGCAAAUGAUAAUUCUAAAGACGUUGCUGAUGAAAUUCAACAUAUGUAUUUUGAGGCAUUACCUUCUGAGGAAUACUUGAGAAAACUUGAAGAGAAGGGUUUGAGGUCACUGAAUUUUUCUGAUGGGUUAGGCAUAAGUUCAGAUGGUAUUAUUUCAAAUUUUAAGAGCUUACGUGCAUUUUGUAUAAGAAGUUGGUAUAUCAUUGAAUUGACAGAUUCAAUUGGGAAGUUGAAGCACUUGAGGUAUCUU